GGAACUCGGGUUUGAGAGAAGAGAUAUGGUUCCAUGCACCAUUGUUAAGUUGAAGCUUCAAGGUAGGUUUCAAUUAAACUCAAAAUUUUACGUUAAAAUCUAUUGAGUAUCGCCCAACUUUGUUGUAAAUAGUUUGUAGGACUGCAGUGCAUUUAACACUCUUUCAAAAUUGAUUUUCAUUAACAAGACAUCAUCGUAUGUCACAUGUAUAUCUUGUAUAUAUAUCCUGUGUAAGUCAUUUUUUAAUCUUGUGUAUACCAUGUGUAUAUAUCAUGCGUAUAUCUUGUAUAUAUAUAUUCUGUGUAUCUCUUGCGUAUCUAUAUUAUAUACCUGACAUAUAAACAUUGAUAUACAAGUGAUACACAUGGGAAUGUUCUUAUUCGACUGAAAUUUCGACCCAAUACAAAUUUUGGAAGUAGAGUACUACUAUAAGCUAUUUUUAAAUAUAAGUUUUAUUUUAUAUAUGGAUCCCAAUUUUCUAACAAUUUGCCUUGAUAAAGUCUUUGCGGUUUGUAUGUGAUAAUUUUAGCUGGUGACAGUACUAUAGUCUAUAGUAUAUCCUUUAGAAAUGUGUAUAAUGGGUUGCAUGUUCACAAUUGAGGUAUACCAAGCCCCUCUCUAAUAGACCAAGAGGGAGGAACUUUAGAAAAAUAUUUUUGAUUUUUUCAAAUUUCAGAAUAUGUUUUGGUAAUUUAAAAUAUAUAGUGAAUUACUCGUGUAUAAUAUUGAUUGUGUUUAUGACAUAAUUGGACGGAUUCAUGGAAGAAUUGAUUUCCUAUAGUUAGUUAAUGAAUAGGUCUUGUCUACUAGGAAAAUAUAAUCAAAACGUGGGUUUAUGUGUGAAUUGGACGGAUUGGAUUAAAGCAAAAAUAUAUGAACUUCAUUUAUAUGUAAACUUCAGAUAAUAUUUCUGUGUGAAAAUUGAUUUUGUCAAUUCUAACUUUAAAAAUCAUGUAUUUGAAGCGAUGAAUAUAUAUUAAAUAAGGAUAUAAAAAUAGCCGGUCUCGUAAAAUUUUGGAAAAAUUACAUAAUUAAACAUACUUCACUAUUGAGAAAAUGAUCAAAAUGGUCUUAAUGUAUAAGGGUUGAAUAAUAUUGGUCCUUCAUAUAUACUACCUUAUUGAAAUAGUCCUUAAUGUAUAUAAAAAGAUGAUCAUUUUGGUCCUAACCCUAAAACUAACCAUAAAAGUUAAAAAUUCUGUUAACUCCUUGAAAUUAACAUGUGAAAGUAUCAUUUCUCCCUCAAUCUUCUUUCUUCUUCUUUUUUGGUCAGACUCGAUCUUCUUUCUUCAUCUAUUCUUCUUUCUAUUAACAAAACCCACUUUUACUCACAAUUUUUUUUCAAAUUUCAUAAAGAUAUUUUUAAUAUUCUAUUUUCUACCCUCGUUCAUUCAAAUUAUUUGAACAUUAGAACAAAACAAGUAAAUACAUUGAAAAAUAUUAAUUUUUAAAAAGGGAGAAUACCAAUAUUCUUCCCGUAUAGAGCUUCCACAUGAGAGAAUAGUUGGUUAAAGCUUAAAAUAGUUGACUUAUGACAAUCUCAGAGGAAGAAUAAAGUAUUUUAUCUACUUUACUUAGUUCACAUUUGUAUUAAUGGUCUCGUUUUUUUUACAUUUUUGUAUGGAAAUGUGAGUUGCUGGAAAUUUUGUUUAGCGGGAGAUAAGAAAUGGGUGUAAUGUUAUUUUUCUUGCAAGGAUAUUGCAGGUGGUGGAUUGAGGAUACAGAAUGAGCUUUAAUGGUGAAAGAAAGAAGAUUGAGGGAGAAGGGCUAGUAGUCACCGGACCCGCAAUUUAACAGAAUUUUUAACUUUCAUGGUUAGUUUUAGGGUUAAAGACCAAAAUGAUCUCUUUUAACAUACAUUAAGGACUAUUUUAAUGUGAUAGUAUAUAUGAAGGACCAAAAUUAUUCAACCCUUAUACAUCAAGUACCAUUUUGAUCAUUUUCUCAUCAUAUAUACUACUAUUAUCUAUACUUUGAAAAUAUUACGUAUCUUACCAUUAAUUAAGAGUUUCCUACAUAUUUUACACUUAGAUACAUGUAAUUUUUGCAAUUAGAUACACAAAAAUAGUGAGAGAGGCGAGCGAGAUUCGUAUGUAUCCCAGAUACAUGUGAAUCACACUAGAUACACACUACAUACAUGUAUCUGUAUGUCUCUAAAGUGAUUCACAUGUAUAUGAGAUGCCAGAUACAUGGGAGAGUAGCGAGCGAGAUGAGAGAGACGAUGGAGGUGAACGAGAUUUGCUAUGUAUCCCAGAUACAUGCUAAUCCACUUGGAUACAAUGAAUC
Molecule: long non-coding RNA, 2286 nt
Filed under: Solanum tuberosum (potato)
Lineage: Eukaryota; Viridiplantae; Streptophyta; Magnoliopsida; Solanales; Solanaceae
Description: long non-coding RNA (STUB_LNC008328)
Source: RNAcentral